AUGGCGACCAAGGCGGCGCGUUCCCAGCCCCGCCACCCCCCUACUGGAGGAUCUUCCCCGCAAGCCAUGGCGACCAAGGCGGCGCGUUCCCAGCCCCCCCACCCCCCUCCUGGAGGAUGUGCCCCGCACGCCAUGGCGAAGGCGGCGCGUUCCCGGCCGUUCCUUAUGAUUGCCGACAUUGUGAGCAACUACGACCUCCUCCGAGAACCUGGGUCGCUUGGCUUAGAGGUCGUGGAGUGCAAGAGGAGUGCCGUUGGCUGCGGGCCGACUGGCGUGCGCGUCUUGGAGGGCAUCUCGCUCUACUUGGUCCGCGGCGGCGACGAUGACGACCCGCUGCGCUACCCCCGGAUGUGUAUCCGCGUGUCCGACGAGGCGUUCGACCUCCUCAGCGCGGAGGUCGACGACAGGACGGCGCACUUCUGGGGAAGGAAUCUCCGCAUGUGCUGCCGCGUCUUCUCCAUCCAAGGGGAUGUCAUGGUCAUCAGCCUGGUGUUCGUCGCCAGCCACGAUGCCAGACCUUUCCGGGCGUACUACCUCGUCUACGACUCCGCCACCGUGACCCUCUUCAUGAUCCCGUACCUGCCUCCGGAUUGCCGAACCAUCGCUACACGGUGCCCUCUCCCGGUGCGCCGCCAAGAUGACGGACGCUAUUCUCUGGCCUUCUUGGCCUGCAGAUCCAACUGGGUGGGUGAUGACGAGUCAGAUGUUCUCUGCCUGUGGUCACUGCCGCCUCUGCCUCACAAUAUGAAGCCUCCGGCACUGCCGCGUCAGCAGAACGACAUGGAUCCGUGGGUGGCGAAGAGCCGUCGGCCUGCCGUUUCCGACCGCUUCAAUGCGCACGUGGUCUUCUCGUCCAAGGACUAUGCUUUCUGGGUCGAUCUCAUGCAAGGCAUCUUCUACUGUAGCAUCAGUGAUGCUCUCAAUGGUGGAGAGCCCGUGGAUUUCAAGUAUAUCCCGUUGCCCAAGGACUGCAGCAUGCCCACCGACAUAAUGGACGCGGUGCAUGUGCACCGCAAUAUGGGCUUGGUCGGGGACUCCACCAUCUGGUUCGUUGCCAUCGAACCAUCAGACAACAGUGCCAGACACACCAAUGUGAAGGUUUGGACUAUGGACCUCACACAGCUCAUGUCCAAGAAGAAGACUAAGAAGUGGCAAAAACUUGGGGAGUUCAAAAUGCAAAGUAUCUGGCGGAUGUAUGCCUUCCGGAAGAAGGGGCUGCCGAGGACUGAACCCAGGUUUCCCGUCUGGAGGCAACAGCACGGCGGUAGCGUACUUUACAUGCUGCUGCCUAGGCUCAACGACAGGCAUGCCCACCUUGUUGGCAUUCACGUGGGGUGCAGCACAAGUAAGAUGCGUCUUCUGUCGUCCAGAUCUCUCACCAUUCCAUGGAUCGACCACCCUGUUGUGUUGCCUCUUGAUUUCUUCACUCUGGGGGAUACAGUCGUCUGA
This 1449-nucleotide ribosomal RNA is filed under the name Triticum aestivum (bread wheat). Its description in RNAcentral is "partial small subunit ribosomal RNA". Lineage: Eukaryota; Viridiplantae; Streptophyta; Magnoliopsida; Poales; Poaceae. The record is from RNAcentral.